GCAUUGCUGAGGAGUCCCACAAUAAGACGAAACGUCCGUCAAACAAUAC
Non-coding RNA from Schistosoma haematobium, 49 nucleotides. The record is from Rfam. NCBI's taxonomy places the organism in Eukaryota, Metazoa, Platyhelminthes, Trematoda, Strigeidida, Schistosomatidae.